GACGUAGGGCGCGAGCGUUGUCCGGAUUUACUGGGCGUAAAGGGCGCGUAGGCGGUCAGCACAAGUCAGUUGUGAAAUCUCCGGGCUUAACUCGGAAAGGUCAACUGAUACUGUGCGACUAGAGUGCGGAAGGGGCAACUGGAAUUCUUGGUGUAGCGGUGAAAUGCGUAGAUAUCAAGAGGAACACCUGCGGCGAAGGCGGGUUGCUGGGCCGACACUGACGCUGAGGCGCGAAAGCCAGGGGAGCGAACGGG
RNAcentral lists this ribosomal RNA (254 nucleotides) under uncultured bacterium. RNAcentral describes it as "partial 16S ribosomal RNA". It matches the Rfam family "Bacterial small subunit ribosomal RNA", at positions 524 to 776 of the family's 1533-position model. The record is from RNAcentral.